AGCUUUUCGAUGAUGAGGAGAGUAGAUGUCAGAAUCUGUAAAAGCGAGCCGGGGAUGGUGGAAGUCCGGUACAAACCUGAGAUUGAAACGCACCUCUGAGAAUUUUGUUGAAUCCAAUGGGGGUAGACAAAACGGAAUCCCACCGUUAGCGGGGAAUAGAGUGGGUACUGAUUGUACCAAUAAGAGUGGUAACACGGGAAUUGACUCUCGUCUCUUGC
This 218-nucleotide non-coding RNA is filed under the name Geosporobacter subterraneus. Its description in RNAcentral is "T-box sequence". It matches the Rfam family "T-box leader". Rfam says of the family: Uncharged tRNA acts as the effector for transcription antitermination of genes in the T-box leader family. T-boxes are found upstream of many aminoacyl-tRNA synthetase genes and some amino acid biosynthetic genes usually in Gram-positive bacteria. The record is from RNAcentral. Lineage: Bacteria; Bacillati; Bacillota; Clostridia; Peptostreptococcales; Thermotaleaceae.